RNAcentral lists this Y RNA (93 nucleotides) under Saimiri boliviensis boliviensis (Bolivian squirrel monkey). RNAcentral describes it as "Y RNA (ENSSBOG00000005647.1)". It matches the Rfam family "Y RNA". Rfam says of the family: Y RNAs are components of the Ro ribonucleoprotein particle (Ro RNP), in association with Ro60 and La proteins. The Y RNAs and Ro60 and La proteins are well conserved, but the function of the Ro RNP is not known. The record is from Rfam by way of RNAcentral. Lineage: Eukaryota; Metazoa; Chordata; Mammalia; Primates; Cebidae.
GGCUGGUCUGAUGGUAGUGGGUUAUCAGAACUUACUAACAUUAGUGUCACUGAAGUUGUUAUACAACCCCAUCGCUAAAUUUGACGGUUUUUA